AACUAUCUGAAUUAAAAGGGAAUCGGGUGUAAAUCCCGGACAGUCCCGCUGCUGUGAAACUCUAUUCAACUUCUUGAUAUUUACUUUUACCACUGACCGGGUAUGAUAGAUAGUCAAGGUCGGGAAGGAAUCAGGAAGGGAGUCAGUCAGAAGACCUGCCAUUCAUACC
Molecule: non-coding RNA, 169 nt
Filed under: uncultured Bacteroides sp.
Lineage: Bacteria; Pseudomonadati; Bacteroidota; Bacteroidia; Bacteroidales; Bacteroidaceae
Source: RNAcentral